AGUGAACGCUGGCGGUAGGCCUAACACAUGCAAGUCGAACGGCAGCACAGUAAGAGCUUGCUCUUACGGGUGGCGAGUGGCGGACAUGUGAGGAAUACAUCGGAAUCUACUUUUUCGUGGGGGAUAACGUAGGGAAACUUACGCUAAUACCGCAUACGACCUACGGGUGAAAGCAGGGGAUCUUCGGACCUUGCGCGAUUGAAUGAGCCGAUGUCGGAUUAGCUAGUUGGCGGGGUAAAGGCCCACCAAGGCGACGAUCCGUAGCUGGUCUGAGAGGAUGAUCAGCCACACUGGAACUGAGACACGGUCCAGACUCCUACGGGAGGCAGCAGUGGGGAAUAUUGGACAAUGGGCGCAAGCCUGAUCCAGCCAUACCGCGUGGGUGAAGAAGGCCUUCGGGUUGUAAAGCCCUUUUGUUGGGAAAGAAAAGCAGCAGGUUAAUACCCCGCUGUUCUGACGGUACCCAAAGAACAAGCACCGGCUAACUUCGUG
Molecule: ribosomal RNA, 492 nt
Filed under: uncultured bacterium
Lineage: Bacteria
Description: partial 16S ribosomal RNA
Rfam family: Bacterial small subunit ribosomal RNA
Source: RNAcentral